Molecule: non-coding RNA, 71 nt
Organism: Heteronotia binoei (common prickly gecko)
Lineage: Eukaryota; Metazoa; Chordata; Lepidosauria; Squamata; Gekkonidae
Source: the annotation of a RefSeq genome assembly
GGACCAUGGCUCAGUGGUAGAGCAGCUGCUUUGCAUGCAGAAGGCCCUGGGUUCAAUCCCCGGCAUCUCCA